Molecule: transfer RNA, 73 nt
Filed under: Harpegnathos saltator (Jerdon's jumping ant)
Lineage: Eukaryota; Metazoa; Arthropoda; Insecta; Hymenoptera; Formicidae
Rfam family: tRNA
About the family: Transfer RNA (tRNA) molecules are approximately 80 nucleotides in length.
Source: Rfam by way of RNAcentral
CGUCAGAUAUCUCAGUGGUCUAGAGCAGUCGCCCGGCAAGCGAAAGACCCGGGUUCGAUUCCCGGUCUAGCGA